GCUUGCUAAGGCUGAUGGCGACCGGCGCACGGGUGAGUAACACGUAUCCAACCUGCCGUCUACUCUUGGCCAGCCUUCUGAAAGGAAGAUUAAUCCAGGAUGGCAUCAUGAGUUCACAUGUCCGCAUGAUUAAAGGUAUUUUCCGGUAGACGAUGGGGAUGCGUUCCAUUAGAUAGUAGGCGGGGUAACGGCCCACCUAGUCAACGAUGGAUAGGGGUUCUGAGAGGAAGGUCCCCCACAUUGGAACUGAGACACGGUCCAAACUCCUACGGGAGGCAGCAGUGAGGAAUAUUGGUCAAUGGGCGAUGGCCUGAACCAGCCAAGUAGCGUGAAGGAUGACUGCCCUAUGGGUUGUAAACUUCUUUUAUAAAGGAAUAAAGUCGGGUAUGCAUACCCGUUUGCAUGUACUUUAUGAAUAAGGAUCGGCUAACUCCGUGCCAGCAGCCGCGGUAAUACGGAGGAUCCGAGCGUUAUCCGGAUUUAUUGGGUUUAAAGGGAGCGUAGAUGGAUGUUUAAGUCAGUUGUGAAAGUUUGCGGCUCAACCGUAAAAUUGCAGUUGAUACUGGAUGUCUUGAGUGCAGUUGAGGCAGGCGGAAUUCGUGGUGUAGCGGUGAAAUGCUUAGAUAUCACGAAGAACUCCGAUUGCGAAGGCAGCCUGCUAAGCUGCAACUGACAUUGAGGCUCGAAAGUGUGGGUAUCAAACAGG
This 706-nucleotide ribosomal RNA is filed under the name uncultured Bacteroidales bacterium. Its description in RNAcentral is "bacterial SSU rRNA". It matches the Rfam family "Bacterial small subunit ribosomal RNA", at positions 75 to 776 of the family's 1533-position model. The record is from RNAcentral. Lineage: Bacteria; Pseudomonadati; Bacteroidota; Bacteroidia; Bacteroidales.